CGCGUGGGAAUCUACCUAAAGUGGGGAAUAACUGUUGGAAACGGCAGCUAAUACCGCAUAAUCCCUUAGGGGUAAAGACUUCGGUCGCUUUUAGAUGAGCCCGCGUUAGAUUAGGCUGUUGGUAGGGUAAUGGCCUACCAAACCUACAAUCUAUAGCUGGUCUGAGAGGAUGAUCAACCACACUGGGACUGAGACACGGCCCAGACUCCUACGGGAGGCAGCAGUGGGGAAUAUUGCACAAUGGGCGCAAGCCUGAUGCAGCCAUGCCGCGUGUGUGAAGAAGGCCUUCGGGUUGUAAAG
Molecule: ribosomal RNA, 300 nt
Filed under: uncultured Rickettsiales bacterium
Lineage: Bacteria; Pseudomonadati; Pseudomonadota; Alphaproteobacteria; Rickettsiales
Description: bacterial SSU rRNA
Rfam family: Bacterial small subunit ribosomal RNA
Source: RNAcentral